This is a long non-coding RNA of Heterocephalus glaber (naked mole-rat), 619 nucleotides long. RefSeq lists it as uncharacterized. The record is from RefSeq and is a predicted model, not a curated record. NCBI's taxonomy places the organism in Eukaryota, Metazoa, Chordata, Mammalia, Rodentia, Bathyergidae.
CACCAUCCCGGGAGGUGUUGCGACCUCACGGACAUGAUAUGACAGAAUCAGGGGUGCCCCUGAGGAGACCCGCUCCAGGACACCCCGGCAAGCAUCAGGCGUGUGUGCGGGUGAGCUCUCCGGAGCCCAACUCUAAGAAACAGGUUAGGAAGACGUGAAGAGAAGCUCCAGGACAGCUUUUCUGGCGAUACCGCAGGAUCACGCUUCAGCCUAUGUCUCCUUCCUCACUCUACGCCAGUGCCUCCAACAGGGUUCGCCUCUGAUACCUUGGCACCUGUCUUCCUUCUUACCAAGGCCUUGUGCUAGGUGCUAAGGGAAGUGUCAGAGACAGGACCUACACACCGGGCCUCCAGGAAAAGCUCCUGUUGAAGUGAGCAGCCAGCAAGAUCUCCCUUUUCACCAACCUGUUCAGCUCCUCGUUUUAACAUUAACAAUGAAGAUUCACCUUUACUAUUGAGCAAAGUCAAAAAUGAAACCUACUCAAAGAGAGGAAAGAAUUUGUACACACUGGGAAACUCUUUGGAGUUUAAAUGAUUUGGGUCAGGUGGACUCCGCAGCAUGGCUGGAAUAUUUCAAAGAGUCACUCACAAAUGUGUCAUUUGACCUGCUGUUCUUCCAA